This 4863-nucleotide long non-coding RNA is filed under the name Sus scrofa (pig). RNAcentral describes it as "lncRNA (ENSSSCG00050071527.1)". The record is from RNAcentral. Lineage: Eukaryota; Metazoa; Chordata; Mammalia; Artiodactyla; Suidae.
UUUCCCAGGCUUGUAAUGCUCUAUAUCAGUGGCCCUCAAACAGAAAGAGAGUUGUCCCCAGGAAACACUUGGCAAUGUCUGAGAUAUUUUUGGUUGUCCCACCUGGGGUGCAGCUGGCAUCUAGUUGGUAGAGGGAUGGUACUGAAUGUCCUGCAUGCACAAGACAUGCACAUGUCCUAUAGUAUUUUUCUGUAAUAGCUUAUUAGUUUCAGAAGUUUUUUGUUUGUUUGUUUGUUUUUGUUUUUGUUGGUGACCUUUCUUUUUAACAAAAAUAAACUCCUCUCACAAUGAAGUAAAAAUGAAAUAAAUUGCAGCAUAGCCUAAGGGAAAAUAGUAUAGCCAUUAAAAAUCCAUGCUGGUUAUGUGUAUUCACUGACUUGGGGAGAUAUGUGUACGAGUCAGGUUAGGACAGUGUCUGCUGUGAGACAAACAGCCCCUCCAUCUCUGGUUCAGAGUUAAGUGCAUGCAAAGCUUAUUUCACAUUCAUACAAAACCUCAUGCAAGUUGGAAGACUUUCCAUCCUGACUCCUACCAGCAAUUAGGAUGUUUCUGAUGUAGAAAUGAGCUUGGCAUAGUCUACAGAUGGAUGCUUGAGGAAAAUGGCUAUUGUGGUAAAUAAACAAAAGUUUGGUAGAAGAGUAUAGCAUGUGUAGAAAAGGACUUUUCACUGUCAGCACUACUGACAUUUGGGGACAGAUAAUUUGUUGCUGUGGGGGCUGUCCCAUGCAGUGUCUAGUAGUAUCUCUGGCCUCUUCUAGGGUACAUAACUGGGAGCAUGUGUUUGAGGACCAUUGGUGUAGAGCCUCACAAGCCUGGGAAAUGUAUUUAUAUUGUAUUGUCACUGCAAUGGGAACCAGUGGGAGAUAGGCAGUACAGUGAUAUUAUCCAUCCAUUAUUAACAAUAUGAUUCUGAGCAGGAGCAAAACCAGUAAAGCCAUUAAGAAGUUGUUUCAAUUUUCCAGUCAAAAGAUGACAGUGGCAAGAUGGUAGCAAGGUGCUAAGUACUGCUACUGGUCAACUCUGAGAGCUGUGAGUUGGUAGAAGAUAGAGUUUGUUGUAAAGCUGAAUACUGCAUGCGAGGGAGAGAAGGACACCAAUGAUAAGGAAUCAAUAAUCAACAUAUAUGCCAGUGGCUUCCAAACAUUUAUGUUCAGAAUUGGAUGGAGUUGGGUUUAUGAAAAUUGUCUAAGGAGUUUGUUAAAAUUAUACAUUUUUGCGGCUCACUCCUGGAAAAUCUAGUGUAUCAAACCUGGCGAGUGGCCCGGGAAGCUAUUUUCAACAUAAUUCUUCAGUGGUUCUGGAAGGAAGUUUGGUUUGGAACUCCCAGCAUGCUCAAGUGCAUUUACCUGGGACGGCACCACUGGGGGUCAGUGCUGUGUGUGCGUCCCUCUACUUCCAGAACUAGUAGGCUCUAUCUCUGGACCCAGUUCUCUUCAUGUUUCUAUCCUGAUGCAGAAAAAGACUGGAAUUCUUUAAUAUUUCUCCCUUCACCUUGUCAACAUUUAAUAAAUUUCCAUGAUAAUCAUGAUUCAUUCUUAUAAAGUAAAAUAAGGAAGCCUCAUUCUGAAGCAUAGCUGGCUUCUAUGGAAGAGAAUACAGUGAAGGGUCACACAUGCCAAGGUCUAGUAUAAACCAUCAAAAGCAUCUAUGUGUUCACCACAAGUGACCAAUGACGUGUACAUAAGCAAGGAUCAUUUGGAUGUGCUGGAAAAUUUCCAGGUAUUAAACUUUUUAAAUCAUGGCCAACUUCUUUUUUAAAUGAUAUUUUGGCUUCCAGGCCCAUCUCAAAACCUCCUUGUCCAUCAUCACACAACUGCCCAAGUAUUUCAGUAUGUAUGAUUUCCAGAACCUAAAGUUUCCCACAACAGAGUAAAAAAAUACCUGAGCCAGCACCUCACGGUAAUUCUUAUGCAAAUUAUCAAUCUUAGAGGGUAUGGGAGCCGGUUAAGAAUUCCUAAAGUGGAUUGCUUGAGGAGAUGGAUCUUAUUUCACAGAAUGCUCCAUGUCUUAUGUUACUCUGACAGAAUUAUUAAUAAGCAAUAGAUUUAUCAACACUUACAGGUAACAGAUAUUUGAGGUUGCUAUGGGCCCACAACUGCUCUGAGCAUCUUAAAUGUGUGAGUUUAUUUCUUCCUCACAAAAAGGUGUAAGGUAGAUAUUAACAUUAUCUUCAUUGUACAGAUGAGGAAGCUGAUGGAGAAAGAGGUUAAGCAACUUUCUUAUGUUUUCUGCAAGUCUGCAGUGGAGGGGGAUUCAGAUAGAGCCAGCCUAGUAUGAGCACUCAUCUCAAUGAGAAACUGCUUCUAUCAACCAGAGUUCUCAGAGGAACUGAACCAAUAGAAUGUCUAUAUCCAAAACUAUCUCUUUCUCUAUAGGUGUAUCAUCUCAACACCGAUUUAUCCAUCCAUUACCUGCUUAUCUGUAAUCGAUCUACCUAUCAAUCUACCUAUCUAUCUUCCUGCUGAUCAUCUAUCAUUUAUCUCAAUACCUACUCAUCCAUCCAUCCAUCACCUACUUGUCUGUCAUCUAUUUAUCUACCUACCUACCUACCUAUCUAUCUAUCUAUACCUCAGCCUCCAUUUAUUGCUGUAAUUUACAUUCUCCAUUCUUCAUUCAACUACUGCAAAUACCUAGAAUUUCAGGAAAUGCUAUGCUACUUAUUCAACUCACACACGUGUUGUGUUAAUAGAGAAUUUUUGCAAGAAAAAGCAAAACUGCUGUCACCCAUGCCCUGUGUUCUGAGCCCUUCUAGGUCCUAUAGUAUCUCAAGGUUGGCCCAUCCACUGCCAUCGGGGGCCAUCACAAAUGGCCUGCUGUUUCUGUCUCCACCUGUAUCACACACACGUUUUGGCAAAGAUUCAUUAAGGAUGUCAGCUAGAGGGAAAUUGUAUGUACCUUAUAAAUGACUAGUUUUGAGUAAGACAGCAAAUUUUUCUUAUCAGGUCUACAACCUGGAACGUUUUGUGAGCCAACUCGGGACUCCUUCCUGUUUCAGAAUGGAAAGCCAGUGGCUCCUUUGCUUCAAACCUUCCAGUGAAGCUUUCAGAAGCCCUUUGACGGAGAUUGCAAUCAGCCUCGGCGUUUCUCCAGGGAGACCGGCUGCCUCCUUGGUCAUCGAGACACGACUCUGAAUGACGGAGGAGAUGGACGCCUGUGACUGGCAACCUCAGAAGCAAGGGCAGCUUCCAGCCUUCUCUCCUAUCCUGUGAGGGCCUUUUCUUGCCCUAAGGCAGUUGGGAUUCAGCCACGCAUCCGAACAGCUCGAUGUGGAAAGUUACUGUCAGUACUUAAGGGAGAUUUGUUCUUCUCUUUAAAACCUCAUUUUCUUCCUUGGUUUAAAAAUAGAGUUGAACCUCAUAAACCUAGCCUCAUUUCAGGAUUCCACGGAGCCUUCUAAAUUGUCAAUUGCGAAGGCGAGUCUGCAUACUGCAGAGAUGGUAGAGUGAUGUUGGGUUUUAUUUACUGCAUCAUUGUGCAUUCUGGUUUUUCAUGGUCCAUUUGAUUACAGAAUUUUCCAUUUGUAAAUUAGCUUUUUUUUUUUUUUGAGGAUUCAAAUGCUCAUGGGGUUAUUUCUUGAAGCACUGUAAGUUAUAUCUACACUAUCAUUCCUAAAGAAAUAGCCCAUUCCAGGUAAAUUCCUGAUAACCUCACUAUCAGCCUUCAAAUUCAGACCUCUAGAGAUAAUUGCCUGAGCUGUCAGUCAUAAAGAAUACACAUAUUUGAAUGAUUAUCAAAUUGACCCCAGAUAUCUGCACAAACAGUGUGCACCUGAGUGGAAGAUAGGCAAACCCGAAGGCAGUAUCAAGCCUUUUUCAGGCGGAAAAAUUGUUAGAAAUAUAAAUCAGUUCCUACCGGAUCGUCGCAGAAGCUCAGGGAUUUUUUUCUGACAAUGAUGAUAUGGAAGGUCCAAAGGGAAGUUGUCAGAAGCCUUUAGAACUGUGCAUAUGAAUUUUUUGAGGCAUAGCGGUCUUGAGGAAAGGGAGCCCAUUGGGAUAUUCGCAUCUCUGUGUCCCCCCUGCCAUGUUUCCGAGGGGAGUUUUGCUCAUUGGAGGAACAGCCUGGAGAAGAGGAGUCUGGCUCUAAAAGGGUGCACGAAGGGCCUCCGAUCACCUAGGGUGACCAGACCCACAGGCUUCACUCGGGGCUGUAGGUUAAAACAGCCUCUCCUCACUGCCCAGAAAGGAGACCAACAUGCAAACGGAUUUCUAAACCAUGCGAUUUCUGAAAAGAGGUGCUUUCUUCGGCAACUUGAAUUUCAAGCUUGAUAAAACCAAAACACUGAACCUGCUGAAGUCUGCCUGUCCUAUCUUUUAAUGGAGAGAAGCAAGUACAUUUUGCUUUUGCUUCCAGAAUUUAGUUCCUCGGUUAACUUGGUUAUUUUAGGGAACAGGUCUACAGGUCAACCCUCCAAAAAUUAAAUCGGUGAAAACAGUUGUAAUGUGAGUGCCUAAUGUUUGGUUCAACUGAUGCAAUGAACCAAAAGGUUCCUCUGUUUUUUGUCUGCCUGGAUAUUUAUAUUUACCUACUUGUUAACUGAAUCAAAUACUGAUAAAUAUCUAUGGUUAAGACUUAAAAGAAAAUAAUUUAAAAAAAAAGACUUAACAGGAGUUCCUUUUGUGGCAAAGUGGAAACGAACCCAACUAGCAUCCAUGAGGAUGCGGGUUUGAUCUCUGGCUUCACUCAGUGGGCUGGGGAAUCUGCCAUGCAGUGAGCUGCAGUGUAGGUUGCAGAUGCAGCUUGAACCUGGCCUUGUUGUGGCUGUGGUGUAGACUGGCAGCUAUGGCUCUCAUUUGACCCCUAAGCCUGGCAACUUCCAUAUCCCACAGGUACAGCCCUAAAAAGCAAAAAAAAAAAAAAAAAAAA